AUACUUACCUGGACGGGGUCGAUGGCUGAUCAAGAAGAGCCGUGGCCUAGAUCAAUGGCUCACAUUGCAUUUGGUGAGUGUGUUGGUCUACCAUCUCCCCAAGUGAAAGAGUGGAUGUUGUAAUUUGUGAUAAAGGGGUACGUGUUCGCGCGGCCCUUG
Triticum dicoccoides is the source of this 159-nucleotide small nuclear RNA. RefSeq annotates it as U1 spliceosomal RNA. The record is from RefSeq and is a predicted model, not a curated record. Lineage: Eukaryota; Viridiplantae; Streptophyta; Magnoliopsida; Poales; Poaceae. The transcript has a single exon.